GUGAAAGCAGGGGACCGCAAGGCCUUGCGUCGAUGGAGCGGCCGAUGCCGGAUUAGCUAGUUGGUGAGGUAAAGGCUCACCAAGGCGACGAUCCCGUAGCUGGUCUGAGAGGACGACCAGCCACACUGGGACUGAGACACGGCCCAGACUCCUACGGGAGGCAGCAGUGGGGAAUCUUGGACAAUGGGCGAAAGCCUGAUCCAGCAAUGCCGCGUGUGGGAAGAAGGCCUUCGGGUUGUAAACCACUUUUGGCGGGAAAGAAAUGGUCUGUGCUAAUACCACGGAUUGAUGACGGUACCCGCAGAAUAAGCACCGGCUAACUACGUG
Molecule: ribosomal RNA, 327 nt
Filed under: uncultured bacterium
Lineage: Bacteria
Description: bacterial SSU rRNA
Rfam family: Bacterial small subunit ribosomal RNA
Source: RNAcentral